GAGUUUGAUCGUGGCUCAGAUUGAACGCUGGCGGCAUGCCUUACACAUGCAAGUCGAACGGCAGCAUGAUCUAGCUUGCUAGAUUGAUGGCGAGUGGCGAACGGGUGAGUAAUACAUCGGAACGUGCCCUGUAGUGGGGGAUAACUAGUCGAAAGAUUAGCUAAUACCGCAUACGACCUGAGGGUGAAAGUGGGGGACCGCAAGGCCUCAUGCUAUAGGAGCGGCCGAUGUCUGAUUAGCUAGUUGGUGGGGUAAAGGCCCACCAAGGCGACGAUCAGUAGCUGGUCUGAGAGGACGAUCAGCCACACUGGGACUGAGACACGGCCCAGACUCCUACGGGAGGCAGCAGUGGGGAAUUUGGACAAUGGGCGAAAGCCUGAUCCAGCAAUGCCGCGUGUGUGAAGAAGGCCUCGGUGUAAG
This 420-nucleotide ribosomal RNA is filed under the name uncultured microorganism. Its description in RNAcentral is "bacterial SSU rRNA". It matches the Rfam family "Bacterial small subunit ribosomal RNA", at positions 9 to 429 of the family's 1533-position model. The record is from RNAcentral.